This 252-nucleotide ribosomal RNA is filed under the name uncultured bacterium. RNAcentral's name for it is "partial 16S ribosomal RNA". It matches the Rfam family "Bacterial small subunit ribosomal RNA", at positions 524 to 776 of the family's 1533-position model. The record is from RNAcentral.
GACGGGGGGGCAAGUGUUCUUCGGAAUUACUGGGCGUAAAGGGCUUGUAGGUGGCCAACUAAGUCAGACGUGAAAUCCCUCGGCUUAACCGGGGAACUGCGUCUGAUACUGGAUGGCUUGAGUGUGGGAGAGGGAUGCGGAAUUCCAGGUGUAGCGGUGAAAUGCGUAGAUAUCUGGAGGAACACCGGUGGCGAAGGCGGCAUCCUGGACCGGCAUUGACGCUGAGGCGCGAAAGCUAGGGGAGCAAACGGG